Molecule: unclassified non-coding RNA, 343 nt
Filed under: soil metagenome
Description: partial contains 5.8S ribosomal RNA, internal transcribed spacer 2, and large subunit ribosomal RNA
Rfam family: 5.8S ribosomal RNA (bases 1-121)
Source: RNAcentral
GAUGAAGAACGCAGCGAAAUGCGAUAAGUAAUGCGAAUUGCAGAAUUUCCGUGAGUCAUCGAAUCUUUGAACGCACACUGCGCCCGCCAGCACUCUGGCGGGCAUGCCUGUUCGAGCGUCAUUUCAACCAUCAAGCCCCCAGGGGCUUGUGCUGGGGCCAUGCGGCUGCCCGCAGGCCCUGAAAACCAGUGGCGGGCUCGCUAGUCACACCGAGCGCAGUAGCACAUCUCGCUCAGGGCGUGCGGCGGGCUCCUGCCGUGAAACCCCCCACUGUAACCCCAAAGGUUGACCUCGGAUCAGGUAGGAAUACCCGCUGAACUUAAGCAUAUCAAUAAGCGGAGGA